CCUGCGGGUGGCAGCAGUGGGGAAUAUUGGACAAUGGGCGAAAGCCUGAUCCAGCCAUGCCGCGUGUGUGAAGAAGGCCUUCGGGUUGUAAAGCACUUUCAGUGGGGAAGAAAGCCUUGGGGCUAAUACCCUCGAGGAAGGACAUCACCCACAGAAGAAGCACCGGCUAACUCCGUGCCAGCAGCCGCGGUAAUACGGAGGGUGCGAGCGUUAAUCGGAAUUACUGGGCGUAAAGCGCGCGUAGGCGGUCUGAUAAGCCGGUUGUGAAAGCCCCGGGCUCAACCUGGGAACGGCAUCCGGAACUGUCAGGCUAGAGUGCAGGAGAGGAAGGUAGAAUUCCCGGUGUAGCGGUGAAAUGUGUAGAGAUCGGGAGGAAUACCAGUGGCGAAGGCGGCCUUCUGGACUGACACUGACGCUGAGGUGCGAAAGCGUGGGUAGCAAACAGGAUUAGAUACCCUAGUAGUC
Molecule: ribosomal RNA, 465 nt
Filed under: Vreelandella stevensii
Lineage: Bacteria; Pseudomonadati; Pseudomonadota; Gammaproteobacteria; Oceanospirillales; Halomonadaceae
Description: partial 16S ribosomal RNA
Rfam family: Bacterial small subunit ribosomal RNA
Source: RNAcentral